This 284-nucleotide ribosomal RNA is filed under the name uncultured archaeon SYA_2000_8. Its description in RNAcentral is "partial 16S ribosomal RNA". It matches the Rfam family "Archaeal small subunit ribosomal RNA", at positions 521 to 805 of the family's 1478-position model. The record is from RNAcentral.
GUAGCUGGCUGAGUUAUUCCCUUGUUAAAUCCACCGAAUUAAUCGUUGGAUUGCGGGGGAUACUGCUCGGCUAGGGGACGAGAGAGGCAGACGGUAUUUCUGGGGUAGGGGUGAAAUCCUAUAAUCCCAGGAGGACCACCAGUGGCGAAGGCUGUCUGCUAGAACGCGCCCGACGGUGAGGGAUGAAAGCUGGGGGAGCGAACCGGAUUAGAUACCCGGGUAGUCCCAGCUGUAAACGAUGCAGACUAGGUGUUUGGACGGCCACGUGCCGUUCUAGUGCCGCA